This 101-nucleotide non-coding RNA is filed under the name Curvibacter sp. RNAcentral's name for it is "TPP sequence". It matches the Rfam family "TPP riboswitch aptamer (THI element)". From Rfam's summary of the family: Vitamin B(1) in its active form thiamin pyrophosphate (TPP) is an essential coenzyme that is synthesised by coupling of pyrimidine and thiazole moieties in bacteria. The record is from RNAcentral. Lineage: Bacteria; Pseudomonadati; Pseudomonadota; Betaproteobacteria; Burkholderiales; Comamonadaceae.
CCGCCCUGCCCGGGGUGCGCAAUGGUUGCGCUGAGAUGGAUUCCGAACCCGCGAACUUGAUCUGGUUCAUACCAGCGUAAGAAGUGCAACGCAGCCGACGG